Molecule: ribosomal RNA, 260 nt
Filed under: uncultured bacterium
Lineage: Bacteria
Description: partial 16S ribosomal RNA
Rfam family: Bacterial small subunit ribosomal RNA
Source: RNAcentral
GUCCACACCGUAAACGUUGGGCGCUAGGUGUGGGGCCUAUUCCAUGGGUUCCGUGCCGCAGCUAACGCAUUAAGCGCCCCGCCUGGGGAGUACGGCCGCAAGGCUAAAACUCAAAGGAAUUGACGGGGGCCCGCACAAGCGGCGGAGCAUGCGGAUUAAUUCGAUGCAACGCGAAGAACCUUACCUGGGUUUGACAUAUGCCGGAAAGCCGUAGAGAUACGGCCCCUUUUGUCGGUAUACAGGUGGUGCAUGGCUGUCGU